Molecule: ribosomal RNA, 45 nt
Filed under: Alternaria sp.
Lineage: Eukaryota; Fungi; Ascomycota; Dothideomycetes; Pleosporales; Pleosporaceae
Also listed under: 1 other name
Description: partial 28S ribosomal RNA
Source: RNAcentral
CUUUGACCUCGGAUCAGGUAGGGAUACCCGCUGAACUUAAGCAUA